GUAGGGUGCGAGCGUUAAUCGGAAUUACUGGGCGUAAAGUGUGCGCAGGCGGCAAAGCAAGUCGAGUGUGAAAGCCCCGGGCUUAACUUGGGAAUUGCGCUCGAAACUACUUUGCUGGAGUGUGGCAGAGGAAGGUGGAAUUCCACGUGUAGCGGUGAAAUGCGUAGAGAUGUGGAGGAACACCAAUGGCGAAGGCAGCCUUCUGGGCCAACACUGACGCUCAUGCACGAAAGCGUGGGGAGCAAACAGGAUUAGAUACCCUGGUAGUCCACGCCCUAAACGAUGACGACUAGUUGUUGGAGGAGUUAAAUCCUUUAGUAACGCAGCUAACGCGCGAAGUCGUCCGCCUGGGGAGUACGGUCGCAAGAUUA
This 371-nucleotide ribosomal RNA is filed under the name uncultured bacterium. RNAcentral's name for it is "bacterial SSU rRNA". It matches the Rfam family "Bacterial small subunit ribosomal RNA", at positions 527 to 896 of the family's 1533-position model. The record is from RNAcentral.